UGGUUUCAUGAUAUUAAUGUAUAUUUUCGAAACUUAUUUGGAUAUUCGGCAACACGCUGCUCUGAAACUGCCAACUCUUCCCAAAACUUUGGAAGGAGUUAUAAGCCAAGAGAAAUUUGAAAAAUCCCGGGCUUACAGUCUCGAUAAAAGCCACUUCCAUUUUGUUCAUGAGUUCGUAACUAUAGUGAUGGAUUCUGCUAUACUGUUUUUUGGAGUA
Molecule: unclassified non-coding RNA, 217 nt
Filed under: Hevea brasiliensis (rubber tree)
Lineage: Eukaryota; Viridiplantae; Streptophyta; Magnoliopsida; Malpighiales; Euphorbiaceae
Source: RNAcentral